CAGAUUAAAUAGUUAUGAGGAGCUAGAGGACUUUUUCAGCAAAGAGAAAGAGGGUCCUAAACCAACAAAGAAAGGCUGGAGAAAAUACUUCUGCCGUGUUCAUGCAACAAAACAACAGCAAAAGAAGAAAAAGUCGGGAUUGCUUAUUCGUCUUCGUCGGUUAUUCAGGCGACCCUAAUGCUAAUAUAAUGAUUAAUUUUCCACGUAAUUAAAGACAAUUAUUUAUAUUUUCGUUUGUCCAGAAGUUACAUUUAUUACUGAUUCAAAUUCUGAAUCAUCAUACAAAUGAUGAAAAAAAU
Molecule: long non-coding RNA, 299 nt
Organism: Saccostrea cuccullata (small rock oyster)
Lineage: Eukaryota; Metazoa; Mollusca; Bivalvia; Ostreida; Ostreidae
Exons: 3
Source: RefSeq, a predicted model, not a curated record